Molecule: long non-coding RNA, 239 nt
Filed under: Lathyrus oleraceus (garden pea)
Lineage: Eukaryota; Viridiplantae; Streptophyta; Magnoliopsida; Fabales; Fabaceae
Description: Pisum sativum (pea) long non-coding RNA (PSAT_LNC028960)
Source: RNAcentral
UUUUUGUCACACUGAAUAACCAUCUUGGACCGGGCCUAGCACGCACCACUGCUACUAACACCUCACGCCAGGCCCACUCACAUUCUCUCUUCAUUUUCAUUUUUAUUUUUUUAAUUCAACAUUUUUAUUUUCUGUUUUGUUUUGUAAUUAAUAAAAUAUUUUACUUAUUCAUAAAAAUACCAAAAAAUAUUUUUUACUUUCCUUAAUGUUUUAUUUAAUUUAUUUAAUUUUUAUUUUCA